RNAcentral lists this transfer RNA (71 nucleotides) under Ovis aries (sheep). It matches the Rfam family "tRNA". Rfam says of the family: Transfer RNA (tRNA) molecules are approximately 80 nucleotides in length. Their secondary structure includes four short double-helical elements and three loops (D, anti-codon, and T loops). Lineage: Eukaryota; Metazoa; Chordata; Mammalia; Artiodactyla; Bovidae. The record is from Rfam by way of RNAcentral.
UCCCCAGUGGCUCAGCGGUAAAGAAUCUGCCUGCAAUGCAGGAGACAUUGGUUCGAUCCCUGGGUGGGGAA